UACGUAGGGGGCAAGCGUUGUCCGGAUUUAUUGGGCGUAAAGAGCGUGUAGGCGGCCAGACAGGUCAGUUGUGAAAACUCGAGGCUCAACCUCGAGACGCCGAUGGAAACCGUCUGGCUAGAGUCCGGAAGAGGAGAGUGGAAUUCCUGGUGUAGCGGUGAAAUGCGUAGAUAUCAGGAGGAACACCGGUGGUGUAGACGGCUCUCUGGACCGUAACUGACGCUGAGACACGAAAGCGUGGGUAGCAAACAGG
Molecule: ribosomal RNA, 253 nt
Filed under: uncultured bacterium
Lineage: Bacteria
Description: partial 16S ribosomal RNA
Rfam family: Bacterial small subunit ribosomal RNA
Source: RNAcentral